UAAGCAGCUUUUUAGUACAAAAAUAUUAAUUGUUUUAUUACAAAAUUGUUUUAAGAAACAGUAAAAAAAUAGUCCCAAACAAAGCUUAAGAUAAAUUAACACAUAUUAUCUAUACUACUAUUAUAAGUGUGACUUGAGUUUCCACCCUCAUAAAAUCCUGAAAGUCCAUUAAAAUUAUCAAAUUUUAAUGACAUGUGAAAUUAGCUGUUUUGCAAUUCUACCUCUCACCGAAUGGUUUCUCUGCUCAUCUCUUUCUCUCGCCGAACGUAAUAACUCAUCCAUCUUCAUCUCGCCGAACCCAUCACACCACCUAUUACUUCGAAGGCUCCUUCGCAUCUCAUUCCUAGGCAAUCUUUGGCUUUCUCCAGCAACUCUUCUCUGGCGGUGGUCUAUUGGGACUUAUCACUAAUCAGUUGCAACUCCUCUUCAGAGGUCGUGUAAGGUUCUGCUGCUUUCAUAAACGAAAUUAUGCAUCUGUAAGAGAUUUCUAUGUUUUGAAGAACAUGACAUGGUUUUGCAUUCACUAAUUUUGUAUUUGAAUGAGCAGCAUUUCCAAAGUGGCUUUAAAUUCCCUAAUUUUGCAUUUGAAUGAGCACGAAGUGGUUUUGCAGUCUAUUCUUCUUUUCAUUUAUUAAUUUAGUAUCUAUGUUUUGGAACUGAUUUUUUUAUUCACUUCUUUUUAUUUAUUAAUUUAGUUUCUAUGUUUUGGUUCAUUCAAAAUUGGUUGAAUGAUUGUGUUGAUCCAUUCGAGUUUCAAAGAAUUUUAUGCUUUUAACAUUAUAUAUUUGAUAUUAUUGGAACAUAUAAGAAGUGCACCCGCCAUGUCCUUGUUUACAUAGAUAACAAAUCUAUACUAAACAAGUAUACAACAGUCGCUAAACCUCUUGAAGACUUCUUCGAGGUUCUUCACAUUCUAUGCUUAAUCUAAAUAACUUAGCAAAUAGUUUUAUUCAUGACUUCAUUGAUUUGGUUAUGUAAGUUAAAACCAUUGGCAGCACUCAAAGUGGCAAAAAAUCACACCCUGGAUUCUGCUCUGCCAACAGCUCCGCCAUUCCUCAACUAGAAAAAUUCUUCUAUGAGAAUUACCCUUAUUUCAGUUCUAAAAGGCAAGUGUUUUACUACUUGAAUGAUUAAUAUUGAACAUGCUAGAUACAUUACGUGAUUCAGGUUUUUUGUC
Molecule: long non-coding RNA, 1177 nt
Organism: Dendrobium catenatum
Lineage: Eukaryota; Viridiplantae; Streptophyta; Magnoliopsida; Asparagales; Orchidaceae
Exons: 2
Source: RefSeq, a predicted model, not a curated record